Long non-coding RNA from Mesocricetus auratus (golden hamster), 1205 nucleotides. RefSeq lists it as uncharacterized. NCBI's taxonomy places the organism in Eukaryota, Metazoa, Chordata, Mammalia, Rodentia, Cricetidae. The record is from RefSeq and is a predicted model, not a curated record. The transcript has 2 exons.
UGCUUAAGGUCCCAUUAACAAACAAACUGGUUUUCUGUCCUGAGUAGAAGAAUAUAGAAUGAGACCACUUCUUUUAAAUGUGCUCCUAAUAGACCACCAUGGACACUACGUGGGGGAGACAUGAAAGAUUUUUCCUUCUUUUGAAACACAUCUCCCCAAGCUCACCAGCCUUAAACUGCAGCAUCACCAAAGUACCUGGGAGGAAUUGGUGUCUCUGAUUCAUUAUUUCUUCAGAUACUGGUGACGAGGGGCUAUCUAGCUAUUUGUACCUGAGUCAGCAAAGGCACCCACUCAUUUAAUAGCAUAGAAAUCACAGACCUAGAAAGGCUAAGUGAUGUUUUCAAGGUGGUAGAGCUAGUCGGGGUCAGACUUAAGGACAGAAGUUCAGUCUUUAUCUUUUCUUUUUUCUGUCCCAAACUACAUCUAGCCUACUUUUAAGACGUAUGCCAAGUUCUUGGACUCUGCCUUUAACCUCUCUGUCUGCCUCUGCCUCUUUCCUGCUCUCUUCAAGCCCCUAACUAUAUAUCAAGAAAGUAUUUUUUAGAGCACUCUUAGCAACAGUUUCCCAGGUUAUAGUUCUUAAAAGACAGACAAAAGAGGAGGUUCAGAUAGAGGGGCCAAUUGGACCUGAGCAUCCCUCUCUGAUGUGAGCAUGUGGUUAAGGAUACUACUGAAUUAGCUAAUGGACAUGUAUACAGUGAAAACACUAAAGAGAGUUUUUAAAAAUUGGAAGCAAAAAUUAUACAAAAUUCCUGCAAGGAUAAAUGUUAGAAAAACCACAGUACUUCUAAUGGCAUUCAGGUUGGACCUUGACCUGUAAACAUCUGCUGGGCCAUUUUCUGGGACAGGAUGGCUUUAGCAACUGAAAGAGCCCUGUCUCUAAGCCAAUGUUCUUUUCUUCCCCUACAGGUUUCAUUACACCCUCACACUGAGGCCAGUGGAAGGAAAUGGAGUGGAAACAGUGUAUGCUUCUUUAGUCUGGAGAACAGCAGCCAGUUGGGGAGCAUUACUCAAAACCAAAGGCAUUUUGUUCCUUCUAAGUAUUUCAGAUUCAGUUUGCAUGUCAGCUGUAAUCUUAAGUAUCAUCACCUAUCCAUCAGCCUCUCCAUUCCUGACUCAGAACCAAAUGACCAGAGAGAACACAUAUUGGAAACACUGGUACAUACAAAGGAAGAAUGCAAUAAAUACAGUGCCGUGAAUCAUCA